GGUCCUAUAGCUCAGCUGGUAGAGCGCCGCCCUUACAAGGCGGAUGUCGCAGGUUCGAGUCCUGCUGGGACCA
RNAcentral lists this transfer RNA (73 nucleotides) under Frankiaceae bacterium. Its description in RNAcentral is "tRNA-Val". It matches the Rfam family "tRNA". Rfam says of the family: Transfer RNA (tRNA) molecules are approximately 80 nucleotides in length. Their secondary structure includes four short double-helical elements and three loops (D, anti-codon, and T loops). The record is from RNAcentral. Lineage: Bacteria; Bacillati; Actinomycetota; Actinomycetes; Frankiales; Frankiaceae.